UACGUAGGGCGCAAGCGUUGUCCGGAAUUAUUGGGCGUAAAGAGCUCGUAGGCGGCCUGUUGCGUCCGCUGUGAAAUCCCGGGGCUCAACCCCGGGCCUGCAGUGGAUACGGGCUGGCUGGAGGCAGGCAGGGGAGAACGGAAUUCCGGGUGUAGCGGUGGAAUGCGUAGAGAUCCGGAAGAACACCGGUGGCGAAGGCGGCCUGCUGGGCUAUGGCUGACACUGAGGCGCGACAGCGUGGGGAGCAAACAGGG
This 254-nucleotide ribosomal RNA is filed under the name uncultured bacterium. RNAcentral's name for it is "partial 16S ribosomal RNA". It matches the Rfam family "Bacterial small subunit ribosomal RNA", at positions 524 to 777 of the family's 1533-position model. The record is from RNAcentral.